UAAGGUGAAGUGUGGCGCUUUAUUGCAAUGUGGACACCACUGUAGCGGAGAAUGCGGGAAUUGUAAAACCAAAAAAGCUCAUCAGUUAUGUCAACAACCUUGCAAAGUGGCCAGGCCUUGUGGACAUCAGUGUACAAAAAAAUGUCACGAGGAAUGUGGAUUGUGCAAUCAGAAAUGCUUGAAGAGGUGUUCACACAAGAAAUGUGAUCAAGUUUGUGGAGAACCAUGCAAUAUUUGUCAGGAACUAUGUGACCGCGGCUGCAUACAUCAAAAGUGCAGCCGUCCGUGUUUUGCUGUGUGUGAACGCAAGCCUUGCUCCCAGCCCUGCCCCUCGCCCCUGGCCUGUGGACAUCCGUGUCAAGGGUUUUGUGGAGAUCCGUGUCCGGAAAUAUGCCUGCAAUGUGAACCUCAGCUUGCUUCCAUCAUGAA
Long non-coding RNA from Macrosteles quadrilineatus (aster leafhopper), 429 nucleotides. RefSeq lists it as uncharacterized. Lineage: Eukaryota; Metazoa; Arthropoda; Insecta; Hemiptera; Cicadellidae. The record is from RefSeq and is a predicted model, not a curated record. The transcript is spliced from 3 exons.